CUUCCACCAUUUUUGGCUACACUCCACCUCCCUUUAGCCGUGGACAGAGUUGACCAUUCCCAUUUCUGUGCAAAGCUUGUUCGUUUCCGCACCCUCCUCGUCCUUUUCCCCUUCUCCUCUCUCUCUCUUCAACAACGCGAACAACAAAAUCACAGAGCUCUUUCGAUCUCCCAGGCCGUGCAUGGACAUUUCGGGGAAAGGCAAUUAAUGCUCGUCCUUUCCCCGUCAGUGUUCAACCAUUUGUAAGUCGUCGUCUUCUUCCUUUUCUGUUUUGGAUCUGAAACAUUUUAACGGAUUUCGUUCGUUUGUGAAAUUAAAAUCUUUUUCUUAUCAGUUCUUUUUCAUUUUCGGGUACAAAAUUUUAAUGGUUUUUGUCUCUUCUCUCCUUUCUGGUCGGGUGGGUGAAAGACCACAAAAAAUCCGAACGUUUGAACCUUAAAUCCCGCCCAGUUUUGAACCCUAGAUGUUUCCCUAUAAAUAAUCCUUUUCUUGAGUCAUUGAAAAGAAGUAUGGAGCCGCCCAAAUUUCCCCUAGAAGAUAUUAGUUUCAGUAGUUACAAUAUUUCUUGAUAUCGAUUCUAAAAAAAUACUAAAUCAUUUUCUGUUUUCUUUUGCCCUGGUAUUGCUUCGAAUCCGAGUGCAUGCAAGCUCAGAUUCGGUAGUGUGCAAGUAUAUAUCAAGACCCCCCGCACCCUGUUCGCUGCACCCGAAGAAGUCACCACUAUCAGCCGUGUAAAAAAAGAAUUCUGGGCCGAAGCCCAAUUGCAGACAGAUCGCAGCAGCCCUAAAAAAUGGGCUGAGCCCAUUUAAUUAUAUUUGCUCCUCUACUUUAUUUUGUGCAUUUAAUUUGUAUUAUAUGACCAACACUUUACUUUGUUUUGUUUUCUUAGCUUAGAUGAACCUUAGCGGAAUUACUGGGGUAAGUUUUAGCAUAAUGGGUAGUUAAUUUAAAGGAGGAACCAACAGUUAAUUCCAUAGUUUUCAUUUUUUUUUAUUAUAGUAUCUAUAACAUUUAUUUUUACUAGAACAAUUGAUUUUCAAUAGCGUGAAUACAUAUUUUGAGUUAAGGGAA
Lycium barbarum (goji berry) is the source of this 1071-nucleotide long non-coding RNA. RefSeq lists it as uncharacterized. The record is from RefSeq and is a predicted model, not a curated record. NCBI's taxonomy places the organism in Eukaryota, Viridiplantae, Streptophyta, Magnoliopsida, Solanales, Solanaceae. The transcript is spliced from 2 exons.